CCCGCAGUGUUUCGACGAGCGUCGUGACUGUUUUGCUAGUUCUCAUUCUCAAUCACCCCGAGGAGGAUUGGGAUUUACGGGGUCAACUAUGGAUCAAUCAAGAGGAAACAUUGGCAAUGGUUAUUAUGGUGACACCGUGGGGGAACAGGUGGAGGCGAGGCCCCAGCCAAGAAUGAUUCAUUUGAAGACUAUAUGUGGAUGGCAAAUGAAGAGGAGGCAGAAAGGGAGAUGCUAAAAACAAAUGAGGAUGAACAAGCAGCUCAGAAAUGUUUCAACGAAAUGCUGGACGAAGAGGAGCGUAUUGUGCAACCAGAGGCAGCC
Long non-coding RNA from Pollicipes pollicipes, 321 nucleotides. RefSeq lists it as uncharacterized. NCBI's taxonomy places the organism in Eukaryota, Metazoa, Arthropoda, Thecostraca, Pollicipedomorpha, Pollicipedidae. The record is from RefSeq and is a predicted model, not a curated record. The transcript is spliced from 3 exons.